Molecule: non-coding RNA, 434 nt
Organism: Pelobates cultripes (western spadefoot toad)
Lineage: Eukaryota; Metazoa; Chordata; Amphibia; Anura; Pelobatidae
Source: the annotation of a GenBank genome assembly
AAUUCACCAGAGCUAAAAAUCUUAGAGAUUAUCUUGUCCACAGCCAUACGGAACCAACAAAAAAAGCUCAAUCCAUCUGGUUAACACAAACCACCGGCAUUUACCGAUGUGGACAUUGCAAAGUCUGCCAAGAUAUUAGACGCACUUAAAGUGCCAUAUACUCUAAAACAAAAAAAGAAUAUAAGAUCAAGGCGUUUAUUAACUGCAGCUCCACACGGGUGAUAUACCUAAUAAUAUGCAGUUGUGGCAUCCAAUAUGUAGGUAAAAUGUACCAACAAUUGAGGUGCAGAAUCCUUCAACACAUUUGCUCUGUCACAAACCCCAACGUAGCUACUCCAGUCUCCAACCACGUCAGAAACUACCAUCAAGGCGACCCUGCACACCUGACAUUUCAGGCCUUAGAGAAAAUAACCAUGAACACCAGAAAAGGGAAC